CCUACGGGGGGCAGCAGUAGGGAAUAUUGCUCAAUGGGGGAAACCCUGAAGCAGCAACGCCGCGUGGAGGAUGAAGGUUUUCGGAUUGUAAACUCCUUUUGUUAGAGAAGAUAAUGACGGUAUCUAACGAAUAAGCACCGGCUAACUCCGUGCCAGCAGCCGCGGUAAUACGGAGGGUGCAAGCGUUACUCGGAAUCACUGGGCGUAAAGAGCGCGUAGGCGGGAUAGCAAGUCAGAUGUGAAAUCCUAUGGCUUAACCAUAGAACUGCAUUUGAAACUGUUAUUCUAGAGUGUGGGAGAGGUAGGUGGAAUUCUUGGUGUAGGGGUAAAAUCCGUAGAGAUCAAGAGGAAUACUCGUGGCGAAGGCGACCUGCUAGAACAUAACUGACGCUGAUGCGCGAAAGCGUGGGGAGCAAACAGGAUUAGAUACCCUAGUAGUC
This 440-nucleotide ribosomal RNA is filed under the name uncultured bacterium. Its description in RNAcentral is "partial 16S ribosomal RNA". It matches the Rfam family "Bacterial small subunit ribosomal RNA", at positions 338 to 795 of the family's 1533-position model. The record is from RNAcentral.